This 176-nucleotide ribosomal RNA is filed under the name Isophya costata. Its description in RNAcentral is "partial 16S ribosomal RNA". The stretch from base 1 to 103 matches the Rfam family "Bacterial large subunit ribosomal RNA", at positions 2540 to 2643 of the family's 2925-position model. The record is from RNAcentral. Lineage: Eukaryota; Metazoa; Arthropoda; Insecta; Orthoptera; Tettigoniidae.
AGGAAAUGAUUAGAUGCAGCAGUUUAAUUGAUAGGUCUGUUCGACCUUUAAAUCCUUACAUGAUCUGAGUUCAGACCGGCGUGAGCCAGGUCGGUUUCUAUCCUUAUUUUUUGUUUAUAUUUUAGUACGAAAGGACCAAGUAUUUUAAAUAAUUUAUUUUGUUUUGAUUAUUAAUA